This 484-nucleotide ribosomal RNA is filed under the name uncultured bacterium. RNAcentral describes it as "bacterial SSU rRNA". It matches the Rfam family "Bacterial small subunit ribosomal RNA", at positions 100 to 582 of the family's 1533-position model. The record is from RNAcentral.
GCACGGGUGAGUAACGCGUAUCCAACCUGCCCACCACUUGGGGAUAACCUUGCGAAAGUAAGACUAAUACCCAAUGACGUCUCUAGAAGACAUCUGAAAGGGAUUAAAGAUUUAUCGGUGAUGGAUGGGGAUGCGUCUGAUUAGUUUGUUGGCGGGGUAACGGCCCACCAAGACUACGAUGGAUAGGGGUUCUGAGAGGAAGGUCCCCCACAUUGGAACUGAGACACGGUCCAAACUCCUACGGGAGGCAGCAGUGAGGAAUAUUGGUCAAUGGACGAGAGUCUGAACCAGCCAAGUAGCGUGAAGGAUGACUGCCCUAUGGGUUGUAAACUUCUUUUAUAUGGGAAUAAAGUAUUCCACGUGUGGGAUUUUGUAUGUACCAUAUGAAUAAGGAUCGGCUAACUCCGUGCCAGCAGCCGCGGUAAUACGGAGGAUCCGAGCGUUAUCCGGAUUUAUUGGGUUUAAAGGGAGCGUAGGUGGAUUG